AGAACUCGUUUCCGAAAGCUUCGGACGGGAAGCCCAAAGCUUCCAUGGCAUGGGGCUGGCAGCAAGCAUCCGUCUUGCCGUCUUGCUGCCUCACAGGCAGGAAUGCUCCUCAGGUGUGGAGUCAGCGCCCAAAAGUAAAACACGUUUUUCGCCCACCAUCCUUAAAGCUGAACUGAGGAUAACAAUAAAGAGGCUCUCCCCCAGUUCCUCUGUCAAUACGGAGGUAGAUGGUAUAUGCUGGAUGUGCUCUUCUGAAGUUCGAGGCAGUUUUCUGUCAACCCAACAGGGGUGUUCCUCCACGUGACAGGAAAGGAAGAAUGCUGAAGGGACUGCCAGACUGAAGCUGGUGCACCAGGGUGGCUCUGAAAGCAAAUUUCCACCACCUGCUCCUCACCUUGGCACUAUUUUUUUCCUCUCCCACAUUUUUCCCACUUCUGACCCACAAUGUGGAAGUGACCUUCAGCUCUGACUCUCCAAAGAGGAAGGACAGCAAAGAUUUCUAGUUGCUGCAAGCACGUACAGAAGAAAGCAACGCCGGAGCUCCGUCUUUAAGCAUCUUCAAAAAUAGCUCCAACACAACAAGAAAUAAAAAAAAAAUGAUAAUAGAAAAGGGGAGUUUAGCUGUUUUUGUCUGGUUGUUUUUUUAAUCUACUGAGAAUAUUUUCAGACACUGGAAACAAAAGUAGAGAACAUAUCGCUGUUAGAGUUUCACAAUUCAUGGCCAGCUAAUCAACAGAAAACAAAAUAAUCCCACAAUCUGGAUAGCAUGUUUGCCCAAUAUCUGUAUAUUAAACCAAGCCUCAAAUGUAGCAUGGUCUCUGAAUACACACA
This is a non-coding RNA of Anas platyrhynchos (mallard), 831 nucleotides long. The record is from RefSeq and is a predicted model, not a curated record. Lineage: Eukaryota; Metazoa; Chordata; Aves; Anseriformes; Anatidae.